GAUGAACGCUGGCGGCGUGCCUAAUACAUGCAAGUCGAGCGAACAGACGAGGAGCUUGCUCCUCUGACGUUAACGGCGGACGGGUGAGUAACACGUGGAUCACCUCCCUAUAAGACUGGGAUAACUUCGGGAAACCGAAGCUAAUACCGGAUAUUAUAUUGAACGGCAUGGUUCAAUAGUGAAAGAGGGUUUUGUGUUCACUUAUAGAUGCAUCCGCGCGGCAUGAGCUAGUUGGUAAGGUAACGGCUUACCAAGCCAACGAUGCGUAGCCGACCUGAGAGGGUGAUCGGCCACACUGGAACUGAGACACGGUCCAGACUCCUACGGGAGGCAGCAGUAGGGAAUCUUCCGCAAUGGGCGAAAGCCUGACGGAGCAACGCCGCGUGAGUGAUGAAGGUCUUCGGAUCGUAAAACUCUGUUAUUAGGGAAGAACAAAUGUGUAAGUAACUAUGCACGUCUUGACGGUACCUAAUCAGAAAGCCACGGCUAACUACGUG
Molecule: ribosomal RNA, 497 nt
Filed under: uncultured bacterium
Lineage: Bacteria
Description: partial 16S ribosomal RNA
Rfam family: Bacterial small subunit ribosomal RNA
Source: RNAcentral